AUACGGAGGGUGCAAGCGUUAAUCGGAAUUACUGGGCGUAAAGCGUACGUAGGCGGUUAUUUAAGUCAGAUGUGAAAGCCCCGGGCUUAACUUGGGAACUGCAUUUGAAACUGGGUAACUAGAGUUUAGUAGAGGGGAGUGGAAUUUCUGGUGUAGCGGUGAAAUGCGUAGAGAUCUGAAGGAACACCAGUGGCGAAGGCGACUCCCUGGACUAAAACUGACGCUGAGGUACGAAAGCGUGGGUAGCAAACAGGAUUAGAAACCCCAGUAGUCC
RNAcentral lists this ribosomal RNA (274 nucleotides) under uncultured bacterium. RNAcentral describes it as "partial 16S ribosomal RNA". It matches the Rfam family "Bacterial small subunit ribosomal RNA", at positions 523 to 796 of the family's 1533-position model. The record is from RNAcentral.